This 798-nucleotide ribosomal RNA is filed under the name Oligogonotylus mayae. Its description in RNAcentral is "eukaryotic LSU rRNA". It matches the Rfam family "Eukaryotic large subunit ribosomal RNA", at positions 574 to 887 of the family's 3401-position model. The record is from RNAcentral. Lineage: Eukaryota; Metazoa; Platyhelminthes; Trematoda; Opisthorchiida; Cryptogonimidae.
UCAAAUUGGUUGUAUUUUGGAAUCUGCUUAGCCGCAGGUCCUCGCCUUCGGGUGGGGAUGCGCGAGGCACUCACCAAGUGUUGCGCGUUCCGUAUAUGUCGGGCCAGCUCGCCAGUGCACUUUCGCAGAGUGUUCACCACGACCGGCAUUGCGGUCUGGCUGUUGUGGUUAAACCGGCCUUUCUUUGCCCUCGUGGCUUAGGAUUGUCGGGAUGGCAGGUAGCUCGCCAGCUGGGCCUGUAGCUUGCUGCAGGUUUUCGGCUCUCGGGUGUUAUCAGCUGACCGCAUCGGUACUGUGCUGUAUGUCGGAGACGGCGGCUUGUGGUACAUGCGUGCGUACUAGUUGGUUGGCGUGUCCGGGUUUGGUUGUUACGUUGCCUGUGUUUACAGGCCUGAUGAUAGCCCGGGUUCGUUCGGCCGGCGGUUGCGUGUGUAGUGCUUUCCAGGGCCAAUAGUCUGUGGUGUUGCGGUAGACUUUCCACCCGACCCGUCUUGAAACACGGACCAAGGAGAGUAACAUGUGCGCGAGUCAUUGGGCGUAACGAAACCCAAAGGCGAAGUGAAAGUAAAGGUCUGGCUUGUCUGGACUGAGGUGAGAUCCUGUCGUUUCCCACGCGCGGUAUUACCAAGCUCCGAGCGGCAGGCGCAUCACCGGCCCGUCCCAUGGUGUGGUGACUUCCUUGGGGGGUUCGUCACCGGGGCGGAGCAUGAGCGUACAUGUUGAGACCCGAAAGAUGGUGAACUAUGCUUGCGCAGGUUGAAGCCAGAGGAAACUCUGGUGGAGGACCGCAGCGAUUCU